Molecule: long non-coding RNA, 4650 nt
Organism: Humulus lupulus (European hop)
Lineage: Eukaryota; Viridiplantae; Streptophyta; Magnoliopsida; Rosales; Cannabaceae
Exons: 4
Source: RefSeq, a predicted model, not a curated record
GGUAGAUAAAAGGAAGAAAAGAAAGAAGAGCCUCAUUUUGCUCUUUGGGACCGUCGGCUAGAGAGAGAGAGAAAGAGAGAGAGGGAGAGAGAGUGUCCAAUUCUAGCGAGAGAGGGAGAGAAGAAAAAACGUGAAGGAGAAGACAAAGAGAACGCCAAGGCUAGUGAUCUUAAGGUCUUCGCUGAGAACAUAGAAGGUUGGUGGCUAGGGUUCGAAAUCCCUAGGGUUUCGAAACACUAGGGUAAUCAAAGUGGUGGCUAAAUUUUGAGUCCUUGAUUUCUACCAAGGAAGGCAAUGGAUUCUCUAUCUAUGUUGUUGGAUGAAUCUAUUAUUGGUUAUGGUUUUGUGGUAUUUAAUGGAUUAGUCAAUACAGGUUGAUGAUGGAAGGUUAUUGUUUUGGUUAGGAGAUGGUAUUGAUAAUGUUGGUGAGAAUUGGUUGAUCUUGUUCUUGGAAAGCAUGUAGGAUUAUUUGAGGUUGAAUUUUAUAUGUUUGUGUGGUUAUUAUGAUUAUUAUUAUUUGUUAAAUAUAGAUUAUGUAUGAUUAAUUGUUGACAAGGGUUUUGGUUUUUGAUCUACUAAAAUAUGAUGAUGGUUGUUUUUCAUAAUUUUAGAACAUGAAAAGAUUUGUUGAAUUUGGGCUAUGAGGGCUUCAGCCUAAGGGUGAUUUUUAAAGCAUGAUUGAUUUCAUUUUUAUGACUUAAUAUCACUUGUAAUCUUAAAAACAUGAUAGGUUGUUUGUGAGAUUUUAAAUGGGUAUAAUUUCCUUUAAAGAUUUAAUUUGAUUUAUUGUGUAUAAAGGUUGACUUCUUGAUGCUUGGAUAGUUUUUCUUCUUUGAAUACUUGAAAGGUAGAAACAUGUUAGGUGUUAUAUUGAAAACAUGAUUUAAAAGUGGUUUACCUUUUAUUUAUGCUUGCUGUUUUUUUUUUAUUGUCUUGGAAUGAAAAUGAUAAAUAAAUAUUUUAGAAUGCACAUGUGAUGCCUCAAGAAUUGUUUGAUUUUAUGUAAAUAAAAUGGCAUAUUAUUUCACAUGUCAAUGGUGUUUUUAUCAAAUUAAUACAUGCAUAUUUUUUGAAUAUUUUAUGAAAGAAAGUAUAUUUUUAAUCCAAGUUUGUGAGUUUAAUUAAAUAAAAUAGUUGCUGGAAUUUUUGGAUAAUACUAAGAAAAGUCUUUUAAAUGAGAUAAAUAAAACUAGUGCAUUAAAUAAACUAAAUUAUAAGUAUGUAUAAAUUAAAUGUUAUAUUUUUAUGAUUUAAGUAUGUAUUUUCUCACUUAAGAAUAUAUGUCAUUUUUUUUUUUAAUUUUGUGAAAAAGAAUAUGGUCUACAUUCAAUUUUAUGAUUUAAACAAAUAAGUUUGCAUGCUGGAAUUUUGGUUCAUUAAGAACAAAAUGAUUAUUUUAUAAAAGAUAGGUAGGUCUUACACCCUAAUAAUUUAUGUCUUAAAUGAUAUACUUGAAAAUAUAAUUUUUCCACACUUUAUUUAUGAAUUUUCACAUUUAUAAACAUGCAGAUUUUUUAGAGAUUAGUAAAAUUAUUUUUCUAAUAGGAAAUAAGAACUUAUUAAAUUAUUCUAAAUAGCUACAAUUUUGUCACAAUUUUUAUAUGCUAUUUAAAUAAUAAAUGGAAUUAUUAUUUUAUGAGAAAUUAGAAAAUGCCAAAUGGAUUAUUUUAUAAAGUAAAUAUGUUGUAUUAAAAUUUGUAUAACAAUUUUGGGAUUUAAAGAAACAAUUAAAUUGUAAAUAAAGUAUGUUGCUAAAUUUGUUUGAAGAGGUACGAAAUAAGCAUGUAGAAAUUAUCGUUUUAAAACGUUAAAUUUUAAGAACGCUCACACAUAUGUAUGUUGCGUGCAAAUGCAUUUUUACGUUCAAAUAUAUGCCUGUUGUUCAAAUACAUGAAUUUUACCUUGUAACCAUGAAUGAUUAAUAAGAAGAAUUAGCAUUGUUCUUUUAUGAUUUUAUGUGAAAUUAUUAUAUGUUUGCAACGGUAGUGCAACUUGUGCCACGUGUGCAUGGUCCAUGCACAAGUGGGGUAUGUAUGUUGGGCAUGAGUAGUCUUACAUGAUUCUAAGAGGCAAACAUUUGGUUAUGAUUAUAGGCUCGUUGUGACGUUUUCUCAUUUUGCUUUGCUCGGACAUGAGGUAAGGAAGUUGGAUAGAAUUUUCUAUGUUUUAUUCUAUGACAUGAUAAGACUUGUAUGUUCUAAGAAGUAAAGUACAAUGGAAAUGAAAGUGCUAUGUUUUGAUAUGCCAUGAAAGACAAGUGUUAUGAAGUAGGUAAUCUCUAUGUUUUGAUUUUAAUUGUAUUACAUGUGCUUGUAUGAUGAAUGAAAAGAAAAGGUUGCUAGCUUGUUUAACGCAAGGCAAUAGAGGAGUUACUAAGUUUAAGACGUAACUCACAUGGCUGACGCGCCGAGGUUAUUCAAGGACAUGAUAUCCUAUUUACCUCAUAGAGGAGGUUUUACCAGCCCAGGUUAUACUCGUUACCUCAAGAUGUGACAUGGACAACAAAGGGUUUCUCUCUGGCACGCGUUGUGAUGUGGGGAGUUGCGAUGUCUAAGUAUGUAUGGCGUGGGGGUUUCUGAUGAAUGAAUAAACGAUUAAUAUGAGCGCCGAUAUUUAAAUAAACUAUGUUAUGGAUUUUAUUUCUAAAUAUGCCAGUGGGACUUACACUUUUAUUUUCUUUUAGACAUUGCAUAUGAAUACUUUAUCUUUAUUUUUAACUAUUGGGCCCAAACUUUCAUGCUUUGUCAAGGCCCCACUAAAUUUGUCUUUUAAGUGGUAUUUUUUCUAUUAUCUAUGAGAUAAGUGACUUUUUAUAAAGUAAUAGAAUUAGGCGCUUUACAUCUCGGUAAUCUAUUAUUAAAUUCUUCUCAAUUCUUUUAACUGUAAAUGGAUAUUAUAUCCUAUAUUCCCAACUUAGAUGAAAUAAGAGAAAUAAAAAAAACAUAAAAUUAUUUAUAUAUAUAUUCACGAUAUGUUCCCUAUGGUCACCGAGUUCAUGAAUUAUGGCCAACAAACAGUAGGGGCUGCAAGGUACAUUUGUCAAAGUUUCAUGAUUAUCCUAUUGCAUGUAAAUCGUUUACCUAUAACUAUUCAAAAUACUUAUGAAUAGGCAAUUGUCGUGGAAUAGUUUCGUAGUCGAAUCCAUUUUGAAUUUGAUAAAUGUAUUGCUUGUGAAGUCUUUGUUCUUGUAUGUCCUAUAGAUCUAUCGAUCAUUGAUUGGAAAUUUGAAACUGAUAUUCGUAAGAAACGAUUACUUAAUUACAACAUUGAUUUUGGGAUCUGUAUAUUUUUGGGAACUGUGUUGAGUAUUGUCCAACAAAUUGUUUAUCAAUGACUGAAGAAUAUGAAUUUUCUACUUAUGAUCGUCACAACUUGAAUUCUAAUCCAAUUGACCUGGGUUGUUUACCAAUAUCAGUACUUGACGAUUAUACAACUCGAAUAAUUUUUAAUUCACCUCAAAUAAAAAAAAAGUAAAUCCCCUGAUUAAUGAUUAAUGAAUUUUUUUUGAAGUCCUACAAAUUUUUUUUAUUAAUUAUCAACCAUUUUUUCUCGUCUGGUCUCAAUAGGUUCAUGAAUUUAUUAAUUUUUUUUUAUCACAUAUUUUACAUAGAAUGGAUUUGCUUGAACCAAUACAUGAUUUUGUUUUAGUCUUUAUGGGCUUAAGUCUUAUCUUAGGAGGUAUAAGAGUAGUAUUAUUUACCAACCCAAUUUAUCCUGCCUUCUUGUUAGGAUUUGUUCUUGUUUCUAUAUCCUUAAUAUAUAUUCUAUUAAAUACGAAUUUUGUAGCUGCUGCACAACUCCUUAUUUAUGUGGGGCCAAUAACUGUUUUAAUUCUAUUUGUUGUGAUGUUCAUGAAUGGUUUAGAAUAUAACAAAGAUUUUCAUCUUUUGAUCCUUAGGGAUGGGGUUACUUUGCUGCUUUGUACAAGUAUUUUUUUUUUACUAAUGCUUACUACUACAUAUACGUCAUGGUACGGGAUUAUUUGGACAGUAAGAUCAAACCAGAUUAUAGAGCAUGAUUUGCUAAGUAAUAGCUGUUACACCCAAAUUUUGAGAAUAAAUAAAUAGCCUCGAAAUGUAGGCUCAAAAAUCUUAAGCUUGGGAUCUACAAGUGUUAGCAGUACACAUAUAUGAAUUGUCACAUGGUUCUAGAGCUGUUGUUAGCACUUGAGCAUGAGUCGCAGUGUUCGAGCUUGAGCUGCACCCUAAAAGACAUCAACCUUCUCCGAGGAAUGAGUUCGACCGAAUUAGUGGAUGAGGAGGAGGCUACAACUGGAACGAUGAGCUUGUAGUUUGGCAAGUCGUGAAAGCAUUUCAGCAUAACGAUCGAGCUCAAUGACGCGUUUGUCACACAGAAGGGCUAUUAGGAAAUCCCUAUUUUGUAGGGAUUCGUUAUUAUCGUGUAUUAAAUUGCUUUAAUGAUGGGAUAUUAUGUAAUUAACUCAAUUAAUGCAUUUAUUUCAAAUUUGAAUGCUUGAUUGUAACUUCCCUGAAUUUGGAGAAGAUAUUCCUACAAGUAGGUCUAAAAAUAGCCUGGAGUAAUUCAUUUGUAUUCACACACAAAUUGUAAUGCAGAAACUCCGCCAAAUUGCUCUUAUUCAAAGCUUUGAGAGAGUAUUGUUAAUAAUAGUGACUCAUGGACUAUGAAGAU